Molecule: ribosomal RNA, 484 nt
Filed under: uncultured bacterium
Lineage: Bacteria
Description: partial 16S ribosomal RNA
Rfam family: Bacterial small subunit ribosomal RNA
Source: RNAcentral
AUUGAACGCUGGCGGCAGGCCUAACACAUGCAAGUCGAGCGGAUGAAGGGAGCUUGCUCCUGGAUUCAGCGGCGGACGGGUGAGUAAUUCCUAGGAAUCUGCCUGGUAGUGGGGGAUAACGUCCGGAAACGGGCGCUAAUACCGCAUACGUCCUGAGGGAGAAAGUGGGGGAUCUUCGGACCUCACGCUAUCAGAUGAGCCUAGGUCGGAUUAGCUAGUUGGUGGGGUAAAGGCCUACCAAGGCGACGAUCCGUAACUGGGCUGAGAGGAUGAUCAGUCACACUGGAACUGAGACACGGUCCAGACUCCUACGGGAGGCAGCAGUGGGGAAUAUUGGACAAUGGGCGAAAGCCUGAUCCAGCCAUGCCGCGUGUGUGAAGAAGGUCUUCGGAUUGUAAAGCACUUUAAGUUGGGAAGAAGGGCAGUAAGUUAAUACCUUGCUGUUUUGACGUUACCAACAGAAUAAGCACCGGCUAACUUCGUG